CAAAAUGCGAUAAGUAGUGUGAAUUGCAGAAUUUAGUGAAUCAUCGAAUCUUUGAACGCACAUUGCGCCCUUUGGUAUUCCUUAGGGCAUGCCUGUUCGAGCGUCAUAUACACCUUCAAGCACAGCUUGGUGAUGGGCGUCUGUCCUGCCUCCUCGGCGCGGACUCGUCUCAAAAUUAUUGGCAGCCUCUACCGCAGCUUCAGCGCAGCAGAUUUGCGUCUCUGGCGGCUCGGUUGGGGGGCUCUCCAUCAAGCCAUCAUUACAUUUUGACCUCGGAUCAGGUAGGGAUACCCGCUGAACUUAAGC
This 306-nucleotide unclassified non-coding RNA is filed under the name plant metagenome. Its description in RNAcentral is "partial contains 5.8S ribosomal RNA, internal transcribed spacer 2, and large subunit ribosomal RNA". The stretch from base 1 to 106 matches the Rfam family "5.8S ribosomal RNA", at positions 49 to 154 of the family's 154-position model. The record is from RNAcentral.